This is a small nucleolar RNA of Sorex araneus (European shrew), 134 nucleotides long. RefSeq annotates it as small nucleolar RNA SNORA8. The transcript has a single exon. The record is from RefSeq and is a predicted model, not a curated record. Lineage: Eukaryota; Metazoa; Chordata; Mammalia; Eulipotyphla; Soricidae.
UGCACUGCAUGGUAUCUACACACAGCAGCGUAUCCUGCUGGGUGUUCAAGGACAGUGCAACAGAAAUCCAGUGUCUGGCAUCGUUGGUUUCUUGGCUUCGUGCUGCUAAACCUGGUAUUUUUACUGAGACAUUU